AGUGAACGCUGGCGGUAGGCCUAACACAUGCAAGUCGAACGGCAGCACAGUAAGAGCUUGCUCUUACGGGUGGCGAGUGGCGGACGGGUGAGGAAUACAUCGGAAUCUACUUUUUCGUGGGGGAUAACGUAGGGAAACUUACGCUAAUACCGCAUACGACCUACGGGUGAAAGCAGGGGAUCUUCGGACCUUGCGCGAUUGAAUGAGCCGAUGUCGGAUUAGCUAGUUGGCGUGGUAAAGGCCCACCAAGGCGACGAUCCGUAGCUGGUCUGAGAGGAUGAUCAGCCACACUGGAACUGAGACACGGUCCAGACUCCUACGGGAGGCAGCAGUGGGGAAUAUUGGACAAUGGGCGCAAGCCUGAUCCAGCCAUACCGCGUGGGUGAAGAGGGCCUUCGGGUUGUAAAGCCCUUUUGUUGGGAAAGAAAAGCAGCAGGUUAAUACCCCGCUGUUCUGACGGUACCCAAAGAAUAAGCACCGGCUAACUUCGUG
This 492-nucleotide ribosomal RNA is filed under the name uncultured bacterium. RNAcentral describes it as "partial 16S ribosomal RNA". It matches the Rfam family "Bacterial small subunit ribosomal RNA", at positions 29 to 507 of the family's 1533-position model. The record is from RNAcentral.